Molecule: ribosomal RNA, 332 nt
Filed under: uncultured bacterium
Lineage: Bacteria
Description: bacterial SSU rRNA
Rfam family: Bacterial small subunit ribosomal RNA
Source: RNAcentral
AGAAUUCGAUAAUCCUCCAUAGUAUUUCUAUGCAUCAUUGAAAUUAGAGCUCGGCGGUAUAAGAUGGGCAUGCGUCCUAUUAGCUAGAUGGUAAGGUAAUGGCUUACCAUGGCAACGAUAGGUAGGGGGCCUGAGAGGGUGAUCCCCNNCACUGGUACUGAGACACGGACCAGACUCCUACGGGAGGCAGCAGUGAGGAAUAUUGGUCAAUGGGCGCAAGCCUGAACCAGCCAUGCNGCGNGCAGGAAGAAUGCCCUAUGGGUUGUAAACUGCUUUUAUUUAGGAAUAAACCCCUCUACGUGUAGAGGGNUGAAGGUACUAAACGAAUAAGC